CCUACGGGUGGCAGCAGUGGGGAAUAUUGCGCAAUGGGCGAAAGCCUGACGCAGCGACGCCGCGUGAGGGAUGAAGGUCUUCGGAUCUUAAACCUCUUUCAGCAGAGGAGAACGGUCACUUUGCUAAUCAUCAUUGAAUUUACUGUACCUACAAAAGCAGCACCGGCUAACUCCGUGCCAGCAGCCGCGGUAAUACGGAGGGUGCGAGCGCUAAUCGGAAUUACUGGGCGUAAAGCGCUCGUAGUCGGUAGGUCAAGUCAAGGGUGAAAUCCCCGCGCUCAACGGGGGAACUGCCUUUGAUACUGGCAAACUGGAGUGUGGGAGAGGAUAGUGGAAUUCCAGGUGUAGGAGUGAAAUCCGUAGAUAUCGGGAGGAACAUCAGUGGCGAAGGCGACUAUCUGGAACAUAACUGACGCUGAGGAGCGAAAGCGUGGGUAGCAAACAGGAUUAGAUACCCGUGUAGUC
RNAcentral lists this ribosomal RNA (465 nucleotides) under uncultured bacterium. Its description in RNAcentral is "partial 16S ribosomal RNA". It matches the Rfam family "Bacterial small subunit ribosomal RNA", at positions 338 to 795 of the family's 1533-position model. The record is from RNAcentral.